RNAcentral lists this long non-coding RNA (201 nucleotides) under Nicotiana benthamiana. Its description in RNAcentral is "long non-coding RNA (NBEN_LNC039120)". Lineage: Eukaryota; Viridiplantae; Streptophyta; Magnoliopsida; Solanales; Solanaceae. The record is from RNAcentral.
UGCCAUAUUGUUAGGAGGUAUCAUACGUCCCAUGAUUCCAGCGUUGUACUGUGGCUGAGGAGGUCUAUAUGGCUGCUGAGUUUGCUGACCGCAGUUCUGAUUGCCCUGUCUCUAGACUCCAUAGUUUGACACAUAGUUCAUGUCUUUUGGGUGUUGAUGAUGAUGAUCAUGUUAUGCAUUCCAAGGAUUAACAACUGGCUG